Molecule: ribosomal RNA, 505 nt
Filed under: uncultured bacterium
Lineage: Bacteria
Description: partial 16S ribosomal RNA
Rfam family: Bacterial small subunit ribosomal RNA
Source: RNAcentral
GACGAACGCUGGCGGCGUGCCUAAUACAUGCAAGUAGAACGCACAGUUUAUACCGUAGCUUGCUACACCAUAGACUGUGAGUUGCGAACGGGUGAGUAACGCGUAGGUAACCUGCCUGGUAGCGGGGGAUAACUAUUGGAAACGAUAGCUAAUACCGCAUAAUAUUAAUUAUUGCAUGAUAAUUAAUUGAAAGGUGCAAUUGCACCACUACCAGAUGGACCUUCGUUGUUUUAGCUAGUAGGUGAGGUAAUGGCUCAUCUAGGCGACGAUACAUAGCCGACCGGAGAGGGUGGGCAGCCACACUGGGACUGAGACACGCCCCAGACGCCUACGGGAGGCAGCAGUAGGGAAUCUUCGGCAAUGGACGAAAGUCUGACCGAGAAACGCCGCGUGAGUGAAGAAGGAUUUCGGAUCGUAAAGCUCUGUUGUAAGAGAAGAACGGGUGUGAGAGUGGAAAGUUCACACUGUGACGGUAUCUUACCAGAAAGGGACGGCUAACUACGUG